This 429-nucleotide ribosomal RNA is filed under the name Pseudomonadota bacterium. Its description in RNAcentral is "Proteobacteria bacterium partial 16S ribosomal RNA". It matches the Rfam family "Bacterial small subunit ribosomal RNA", at positions 355 to 776 of the family's 1533-position model. The record is from RNAcentral. Lineage: Bacteria; Pseudomonadati; Pseudomonadota.
UGGGGAAUAUUGGACAAUGGGCGAAAGCCUGAUCCAGCCAUGCCGCGUGUGUGAAGAAGGUCUUCGGAUUGUAAAGCACUUUAAGUUGGGAGGAAGGGCAGUAAGCGAAUACCUUGCUGUUUUGACGCUACCGACAGAAUAAGCACCGGCUAACUCUGUGCCAGCAGCCGCGGUAAUACAGAGGGUGCAAGCGUUAAUCGGAAUUACUGGGCGUAAAGCGCGCGUAGGUGGUUCGUUAAGUUGAAUGUGAAAGCCCCGGGAUCAACCUGGGAACUGCAUCCAAAACUGGCGAGCUAGAGUAGGGCAGAGGGUGGUGGAAUUUCCUGUGUAGCGGAGAAAUGCGUAGAUAUAGGAAGGAACACCAGUGGCGAAGGCGGCCACCUGGGCUCAUACUGACACUGAGGUGCGAAAGCGUGGGGAGCAAACAGG